UACGAAGGGGGCUAGCGUUGCUCGGAAUGACUGGGCGUAAAGGGCGUGUAGGCGGCCAACUAAGUCCGACGUGAAAUCCCCAGGCUUAACCUGGGAACUGCGUCGGAUACUGGAUGGCUUGAAUCCGGGAGAGGGAUGCAGAAUUCCAGGUGUAGCGGUGAAAUGCGCAGAUAUCAGGAAGAACACCUAUGGCGAAGGCAGCUCUCUGGGACGGUACUGACGCUGAGACGCGAAAGCGUGGGGAGCGAACAGG
Molecule: ribosomal RNA, 253 nt
Filed under: uncultured bacterium
Lineage: Bacteria
Description: partial 16S ribosomal RNA
Rfam family: Bacterial small subunit ribosomal RNA
Source: RNAcentral